Stylophora pistillata is the source of this 912-nucleotide long non-coding RNA. The record is from RefSeq and is a predicted model, not a curated record. Lineage: Eukaryota; Metazoa; Cnidaria; Anthozoa; Scleractinia; Pocilloporidae.
GAAAAUAACCCAUGUGACCAUUUCUUAGAAAAGCAAAAUCAAAUAUAAUAUCAACGAUAAAAACAUAUAGGUCAGGCACGGGAAAGUCCCUUUCCUUUCCAGCCAAUAAAAUUCGAGAUGUUGUAAUAUUAGAGUUUUCUCAUUGGCCAGCCAACACAGUUUCAUUUUGAUAAAGAGAAGUGUUAUAAUUGUUUAGUCGCUUACUCUGAACUCGUGUAAACACAGUCCAAGGAGAUUUGUGAAAAAUGGUUUCUUCAAUAUGCCAACGUCUCUUGGAUAAACAAUGGAAAUUUUAAAAACUUGAAAAUGUGCCUCGCAUGCAAGGCAUAUACGUGAUUGGAGAGAUAGUUCCCCAACAAGACCCACUGGUCCUCUAUGUGGGUCGUAGCAAAGACAUACACCGGAGGAUGGCCGAGCAUAAGCCAAGGAAUUUGGCCAUCGACGAGUACGUCAAAGCAAAAUUUAGACUUAACGAUGGCGAAAACCUACGUAUAAAGUGGGUUCGUGAGAGAAACAGCAAUCAUAAGGAAAAGGAAUAUCGUAAAUGUAUUGCGGACAAACUUGGAUACUGGCCAGAAUAUAACAUCAGGCAUUAGGAUUAAAACCAUCAAGUUGUGGACACAUCCUUGUCUGAAGUUAAUUGACCUGAUUUUAUUUAGUCUUAACAACUUUGUUGCUUGACCACGUAAUGGUCCUUUGGAUCGAAAACGUUUUUGUACUUAAGGGUCAAUCGGUUUCUCACGUCUACGUCAUAAAUUUGAUCUAAUUCACUUGUAAGUUAUUACAUUAGAAGAGAAAAUCUAGUUCGUCAAGCCUUACUUGAAGAUAUUAAAAUCAUAGGAAAAGCACAGUAAAUCCAUGUACGUUUUAGUGCUAACUCUUGAGAAUUACAAUUAUUGCAGUAGGCAUGAU